This 76-nucleotide microRNA precursor is filed under the name Myotis lucifugus (little brown bat). RNAcentral's name for it is "mir-9229 microRNA precursor family". It matches the Rfam family "mir-9229 microRNA precursor family". Lineage: Eukaryota; Metazoa; Chordata; Mammalia; Chiroptera; Vespertilionidae. The record is from Rfam by way of RNAcentral.
GAAACACCCUUAUGAAGCAGGACUUGCUUCAUUGGGACUUUGGUGCUCACUGAGUCUGCCCCUUGAGUGUGUCACU